RNAcentral lists this ribosomal RNA (462 nucleotides) under uncultured bacterium. RNAcentral's name for it is "partial 16S ribosomal RNA". It matches the Rfam family "Bacterial small subunit ribosomal RNA", at positions 30 to 523 of the family's 1533-position model. The record is from RNAcentral.
AUUGAACGCUGGCGGUGUGCCUAAUACAUGCAAGUUGAGCGGCAGCGGGCCCUUCGGGGCGCCGGCGAGCGGCGGACGGCUGAGUAACACGUAGGAACGUACCCCAAAGUGAGGGAUAACUGCUCGAAAGAGUAGCUAAUACCGCAUGUGGUCUAAGGAUUAAAGCUUUAUGCGCUUUGGGAGCGGCCUGCGUUCGAUUAGCUAGAUGGUGAGGUAAAAGCUUACCAUGGCGACGAUCGAUAGCUGGUCUGAGAGGAUGAUCAGCCAGACUGGGACGAAGACACGGCCCAGACUCCUACGGGAGGCAGCAGUAGGGAAUUUUCCACAAUGGGCGAAAGCCUGAUGGAGCAACACCGCGUGCAGGAUGAAGGCCUUCGGGUUGUAAACUGCUUUUAUCUGUGACGAUUAUGACGGUAGCAGAUGAAUAAGGAUCGGCUAACUCCGUGCCAGCAGCCGCCGCCG